Medicago truncatula (barrel medic) is the source of this 358-nucleotide long non-coding RNA. RefSeq lists it as uncharacterized. Lineage: Eukaryota; Viridiplantae; Streptophyta; Magnoliopsida; Fabales; Fabaceae. The record is from RefSeq and is a predicted model, not a curated record. The transcript is spliced from 2 exons.
ACUAUUUAUUUGAUGUUAACAAAGCAUGACAUUUUUACUUAUAAAAUUACUAAAACGAUUUUGUUUAUUACAUUCAAACGAUAAUAAUAUGGCUAAAAUUUUCAUGUUUGUUUAUGUUUUGAUCAUCUUUCUUUCUCUAUUUAUGGUUGAAGCAAAUAUACCUGGUGCCCGCUGCGCUACUGACGAAGAUUGUCCUGUUGGUGAAAAGUGCAUUGGUGGUAAUUGUGUUGAAUAAUAAUGAAGUUUAAAAAUAAGUAUGUACCUCUAAGAAAAUAAUUUUAAUAAAUAAAGAGUAAUAAUUAAGUAUAAUAUGCAUGUAUUAUUGCCUUCUUAUAUUCAAGAUAUCACAACUUUACUA